Long non-coding RNA from Rhipicephalus sanguineus (brown dog tick), 355 nucleotides. RefSeq lists it as uncharacterized. The record is from RefSeq and is a predicted model, not a curated record. The transcript is spliced from 3 exons. Lineage: Eukaryota; Metazoa; Arthropoda; Arachnida; Ixodida; Ixodidae.
AGGGAUAAUAAAAGGCUGUGUACUUUCUUUGCAGUAGAAUAUGUGAACAGAUGCAGACGAUUUUUCCUGAAGACUUCAGCGGGAGAGAUUGGAAUCGGCUGCACGUUUUACUGUAGCACUAAUGAAGGUGGCGCAAUGGUGGCAGCAGGUACACAAUGCGUCAACACCAGCAUGAAAGCGGCUGAGAAGAUGGUGCAAGACGUGAAAUACAUUUGUCUACUAGGCAUCUGCAAUAAUAAGUGCACUUGUGAACCCUCAGGUCUCUCUAUUCAAUGCUGGAAAAAACACCCCUUCCAAUCAAAAGGCUACCAUCCUUACUACGGACAUGGACAUGAACAAAAUUUUGUGGAAUAAA